Lynx canadensis (Canada lynx) is the source of this 1820-nucleotide long non-coding RNA. RefSeq lists it as uncharacterized. Lineage: Eukaryota; Metazoa; Chordata; Mammalia; Carnivora; Felidae. The record is from RefSeq and is a predicted model, not a curated record. The transcript is spliced from 3 exons.
AUUACUCACAAAGAGAUGGGUUGCCCGGGCGAAAAAGUGACACAGAUAUGGGAAGGAAAGUCCCCCAGGUCUCAGAUGUGAUGGAAUCAGAGACACAGAAAGACAAACAAACAAAACGGGAAGACUUGCCACGAUUCCGAAAAGUUGUCUAAAUUGGUCUCUAUCGAGUAAUAAAAUCACAGGUUUUUGAUGGCAUUAAGGAAAGCUGUUGCUGCCUGUUUUGAAGAUGCCUCUCUUAUCUCAAUGGCUAGUUUUGGACAUUUCCACACUUGAGACAUGAGAGACUUAAAGAGCCUCUUGGAUCAACAAGUCUGUUUUCCUUCCCUUGCCCUCCCAAGAGUUUAAGACUUCUCCAGGAGAAAAUUCAAUUGCCUCCAACCUACCCAUUACCUGGUGACUUCACUCAGUGAAUUCAUUCCUUUGCUAGGCUGACUUGUACGUUGACCCUGAUUUUUUUUUCCCUCAAGUGCCUUGUUUAGCCACAUUUUAUGACUCUGCUCUUGACUGAGGCACACAGGUCAAACUGUUACUUUACAAAGGGAGGUUCAUAAAGUGAGUAUUUCUCAAGUAAUUCUGGAAACUAGAGAGGAAAUGAUUCGAGGGUACAAAGGGGUACAGCCAGUUUGUUGAGCUUCCAUACUGAAGAAUAACGGCUUUACGUAGAACAUAAGCACUCUCCAGAGAUGUUUCUACAAAGCACACUUACAGUAGUUGAAGCAGUGCUCCUGAGAAAGGUUCCCUGGUGCAGGGUUACAGAAAGAAAUUUCUAAACCCUAACCAAACUGAAAGGGGGUUUUCAGAAAUGUCCUCUUCUCUCAGAGAGAGGUUAGGUACACACGAUAAGUACUGAGUCGACAUUUGUUUUUUGCUAACCACUCAGUAAAUUCUAGAGCAGACAUCUUCUACUAAGCUAUAGUCCUAACAAUGAAAGCGGGACCUGUUUAGCAGUUUAUGUUUCUAUUGUACAGGAGAAUGACUUCCUAGCUUAAGUGACUAUGCCUUUAUUAGAGGUUAUUAUGAUAUAAAGGGAUUUCAAGUUCUUAAGGGUUAUAAGGGGGUAAUAACUGAGUUUCUUGCCUCACUGUAUUUCCCUGGGGAAUACACAAUAGACCCCAUACAUGUAACUAAAUAAACCUAAGAUACGAAACCCUCUUCUCUAAGAAUUCCUACAGGAUGUAAACAUGAGAGAGACCCUCUGGGCUUAUGACCUAGUCACCAAGUUGGACUUAAAAAGGCAAGUAAAGAAAAUAGAGUUACAUGUAAGACUCAAGUAAGGUGUUUAGAUAAUGGCACUGUGCAUGUAAUGAGGAUGCUGAAGACAACUGAAGUCAUUAAAAAAGUGGGACAUAAAAUUGUCCAGGACAGAGAGUUUGCUUACAGGAAUAACGGGAGAGUGAUUGGAAUGCUAGAUUGGGACAAAAUGGUGGGCAGAAUAUUUUGCCAAUGGAAAGUUUAUAUUUCAUUUUGUAGGCUACUCUAGGAUAUUUACUUAAAUUUUAUGUUUCCUGACUGUCCAGGUCACAAUGGAAUCCUAUACAUUUUCUUCAGAUGAAAAAAGAUGGAUGUGUGCCAGUUAAUCAAACAGGAUAAAAUUUGCUUGCUCCUUUUUACGGGAUGAUGAUGACUAAUGCUGUAGAUAAUGCUUUAAACAGUGAUUUUGCUCACCAGACUUGGUCCCAAUGUUCUCAAUGAAAGUCAAGACCAUACUCUUGACAUGUGACUUUGGGAAGGGCAUUCUGAGAAGUAACAUUAAUGAGUUUUAAAUAUGGAGUCCUCUUUCUUUCUUUCUUUCUUUCUUUCUUUCUUUCUUUCUUUCUUUC